RNAcentral lists this ribosomal RNA (377 nucleotides) under uncultured eukaryote. RNAcentral's name for it is "partial 18S ribosomal RNA". It matches the Rfam family "Eukaryotic small subunit ribosomal RNA", at positions 592 to 976 of the family's 1831-position model. The record is from RNAcentral.
CAAUAGCGUAUAUUAAAGUUGUUGCAGUUAAAAAGCUCGUAGUUGGAUUUCGGGGUGGCCUGCCUGGUCCACCGCAAGGUGAGUACUGGUCAGCCGCCCUUCCUCUCGAAAGCCCCGACUGCUCUUCAUUGCAGUGGUCGGGUAGUUCGGGACGUUUACUUUGAAAAAAUUAGAGUGUUCAAGGCAGGCUGUCGCCUGAAUACAUUAGCAUGGAAUAAUGGAAGAGGGCCUCGGUCCUAUUUUGUUGGUUUCUAGGGCCGAAGUAAUGAUUAAGAGGGACAGUUGGGGGCAUUCGUAUUUAAUUGUCAGAGGUGAAAUUCUUGGAUUUAUGAAAGACGAACUAGUGCGAAAGCAUUUGCCAAGGAUGUUUUCAUUAA